UACAGAGGGUGCGAGCGUUGUCCGGAAUCACUGGGCGUAAAGGGCGCGUAGGCGGCUUGGGAAGUCCGUGGUGAAAGCCCGAGGCUCAACUUCGGGUCGGCCAUGGAUACUCCUAAGCUCGAGUCGACUAGAGGCUAAUGGAAUUCCGGGUGUAGCGGUGGAAUGCGUAGAGAUCCGGAAGAACACCGGUGGCGAAGGCGGUUAGCUGGGGUCGGACUGACGCUGAGGCGCGACAGCGUGGGGAGCAAACAGG
Molecule: ribosomal RNA, 253 nt
Filed under: uncultured bacterium
Lineage: Bacteria
Description: partial 16S ribosomal RNA
Rfam family: Bacterial small subunit ribosomal RNA
Source: RNAcentral